GACGAACGCUGGCGGCGUGCUUAACACAUGCAAGUCGUACGGAAAGGCCCUGCUUUUGUGGGGUGCUCGAGUGGCGAACGGGUGAGUAACACGUGAGUAACCUGCCCUUGACUUUGGGAUAACUUCAGGAAGCUGGGGCUAAUACCGGAUAGGAGCUCCUGCUGCAUGGUGGGGGUUGGAAAGUUUCGGCGGUUGGGGAUGGACUCGCGGCUUAUCAGCUUGUUGGUGGGGUAGUGGCUUACCAAGGCUUUGACGGGUAGCCGGCCUGAGAGGGUGACCGGCCACAUUGGGACUGAGAUACGGCCCAGACUCCUACGGGAGGCAGCAGUGGGGAAUAUUGCACAAUGGGCGGAAGCCUGAUGCAGCAACGCCGCGUGCGGGAUGACGGCCUUCGGGUUGUAAACCGCUUUCGCCUGUGACGAAGCGUGAGUGACGGUAAUGGGUAAAGAAGCACCGGCUAACUACGUG
RNAcentral lists this ribosomal RNA (468 nucleotides) under uncultured bacterium. RNAcentral describes it as "partial 16S ribosomal RNA". It matches the Rfam family "Bacterial small subunit ribosomal RNA", at positions 28 to 507 of the family's 1533-position model. The record is from RNAcentral.